RNAcentral lists this transfer RNA (35 nucleotides) under Chloephaga melanoptera (Andean goose). RNAcentral's name for it is "partial tRNA-Phe". The record is from RNAcentral. RNAcentral also lists the same sequence under 1 other name. Lineage: Eukaryota; Metazoa; Chordata; Aves; Anseriformes; Anatidae.
GCUGCCAAGAUGGCGCUCAAACACGCCUGCGGACA